This 231-nucleotide long non-coding RNA is filed under the name Lathyrus oleraceus (garden pea). RNAcentral describes it as "Pisum sativum (pea) long non-coding RNA (PSAT_LNC018483)". The record is from RNAcentral. Lineage: Eukaryota; Viridiplantae; Streptophyta; Magnoliopsida; Fabales; Fabaceae.
CCAUGGAGGUUGCGCCGGUGAGGAGCGAUUGAAGGUCGAUUGUGGCCGACGGAGAAACUGUGGUUUUGUGAGGGCGCUCGUUGGAGGUAGAAAAUGAGGGUGUGGAGUGUGUGGGUUCGCGGUCGAAGGAGGAGAAGAGGUGCGCGUUUGGAGGUUUGGAAGGAUUCGUUGGAAGGAGAAGAAGAUGAAGCUGAGUUUGAUGCGUCCCGUCUCCAGAUAAGCCUCCUCCUU